CUGCAAGCAGAACAGGGAGAGGAUUUUGCCAACUAAGAACUUUACCAGAAGAAGACUUGGAUCAAGAGACUCCAUAGUCCUGACCUGAAGGGAGGAGAGGGGAAAGAGAUUCAAGUUCAGUAGAUGCUGCCUUUCCUUCCAACAGAUCAGAAUUCAGCACAGAUAUCUGUUUGGAAUUAAGUUUCUACAGUAGCCAUAGACAUUUCCUCAUGCAGUAUUAUGCCUGGAAGUUACCAAAUGAUGACACCACAAUUGUCACAAGUUAUGCCAAACAAAGUUAAUAAAAGAUGCUCCUGGCUAUUGUUCUAA
This is a non-coding RNA of Pantherophis guttatus, 309 nucleotides long. The record is from RefSeq and is a predicted model, not a curated record. Lineage: Eukaryota; Metazoa; Chordata; Lepidosauria; Squamata; Colubridae.